AGAGUUUGAUCCUGGCUCAGGAUGAACGCUGGCGGCGUGCCUAACACAUGCAAGUCGAACGGACUCGGAUUGAAACCUAGUGAUUUCCGAGUUAGUGGCGGACGGGUGAGUAACGCGUGGAUAACCUGCCGUAUGCAGGGGGAUAACAGUUGGAAACAGCUGCUAAUACCGCAUAAGCGCACAAUACCGCAUGGUACUGUGUGAAAAGAUUUAUCGGCAUACGAUGGAUCCGCGUCCGAUUAGCCAGUUGGCGGGGUAACGGCCCACCAAAGCGACGAUCGGUAGCCGGCCUGAGAGGGCGGACGGCCACAUUGGGACUGAGACACGGCCCAAACUCCUACGGGAGGCAGCAGUGGGGAAUAUUGCACAAUGGGGGAAACCCUGAUGCAGCGACGCCGCGUGAGUGAAGAAGUAUCUCGGUAUGUAAAGCUCUAUCAGCAGGGAAGAAAAUGACGGUACCUGACUAAGAGGCCCCGGCUAACUACGUG
RNAcentral lists this ribosomal RNA (488 nucleotides) under uncultured Lachnospiraceae bacterium. RNAcentral's name for it is "bacterial SSU rRNA". It matches the Rfam family "Bacterial small subunit ribosomal RNA", at positions 8 to 507 of the family's 1533-position model. Lineage: Bacteria; Bacillati; Bacillota; Clostridia; Lachnospirales; Lachnospiraceae. The record is from RNAcentral.